This 156-nucleotide unclassified non-coding RNA is filed under the name uncultured Dothideomycetes. RNAcentral's name for it is "sequence contains ITS1". Lineage: Eukaryota; Fungi; Ascomycota; Dothideomycetes. The record is from RNAcentral.
UCGAGUUGCGCCGUCUGGUGCUUAACUCCCACCCUUUGUGUACCUAAAUCUUUGUUCGUUGCCUCGGUGGGGUCGAUCCCAGUUUAGGGGGACUCGCCGGGGGACAUUUUUAAACUCCUGUGAACGGUAUCGUCUGAGCAUAAAUAUAAAAAGUCA